UGAAAUGGCCACUCUAUGUGCAGACACAGGUAGAUGCUCAUAUUGUUUUCAGUUGUUGGUUUGUCGUAAGUGGUGUCUGCAUUAGUACGUUACUGGUCUGAGGAGAGACGGGUGUUCACCCGCAGAAUUCACCUGAGCUGCUCAUAUUGAAAAGCCGCUAUCACUGAUUGACAUCGGUUUGAUUUUAAUGGCAACAUAGGUAGUGUUACCUUUACUGCAGUUGGAACAUGAAUUCAAGUCGAUUAUUAAGGGGCCCAUGCCUUUCCUUUAGAGAGUACUUUUUUUAUAAUACGAUGUUUUUAUUCUGCAUACAGUGAAUUUUGAAAAGGAAUAUUCUAGAGUACUUCAUAAUCACUUCAGACGCAAUGACAAGGCCACAUUUUUUCCUCAUCCGCUCCUCUGGAGUCCUUCAGAGGUGAGGGUGGGUGGAUAACAACUGCUGGCAUCUAGAGGUUGGAGGCUGAGCUGCAGUGCUCAGGGGAAGCCCCUGCCCGGAGUCAUCCUGCCUGACGCGAGUGGGUGCCAUUGAGAAACCCUGCCAGGGGGUCAUGUCCUAGCUGGGCCAUGGCCAAGGUGCAGGAACGGAUGCUUCUAGUGCUGCUGCUGAUCCAAGACAGUGAAUGAAUAAAAGUGCGUUCGUCUGUG
This is a long non-coding RNA of Leopardus geoffroyi (Geoffroy's cat), 645 nucleotides long. RefSeq lists it as uncharacterized. NCBI's taxonomy places the organism in Eukaryota, Metazoa, Chordata, Mammalia, Carnivora, Felidae. The transcript is spliced from 2 exons. The record is from RefSeq and is a predicted model, not a curated record.